Molecule: transfer RNA, 66 nt
Filed under: Clypeobarbus pleuropholis
Lineage: Eukaryota; Metazoa; Chordata; Actinopteri; Cypriniformes; Cyprinidae
Description: tRNA-Cys
Rfam family: tRNA
About the family: Transfer RNA (tRNA) molecules are approximately 80 nucleotides in length.
Source: RNAcentral
AGCCUUGUAGUGUAAAACAUGUCGGGUUGCAAACCCGGAGAAGCAGAUUUAUACCUGCCGGGGCUU